UUUCGUUUUUUCACUGACCAAUACCAUAAGUUCCGGUCCAAACCAGCUGGAGUACUUCUUUGGUACUUCGAUAUUUUAUGGUGGGACUUGUAAUGCUUUCUUUGGUCAGUUGGUUAUGCAAAUAGUCUCCUCUGAAACACAAUACAAACGCCGCCUUUAAAACCGUUGCAAACCCAAAAAAUAACGAUAAAUGAAGUUAAAAAAGUGAUUUGGUUGUAUGAACAUAUACAACAAAAAGAUCCGGAUGGCAUGACAAGAAAUUAAAAAGUAUUUUGUUGAAUAGACUAAUACAGCAGGCAUAUAGCAUAUAGCGCACUGUCCUAGGGAUGUGAUUUUGUUAUAUUAAAUAUUAGGGUAUUUAUAAAACAAAAAAGGUAGUUAAUAAAUUUCUGAGAAACCCAUCUUGUGACGCCCGCUCCGUCCGCUCCUCGUAUGUGCCACGCCCCCUAAUUACCCACGUGUGAUUCCCUGAUUGUGCCCAGUCGCGUCAUGUUCUUUUCUGAUUAGUUCCCUGUAUUUAAGUCUCUGUUGUACACUAACCCGUUGUCUGUCAUUGAUGUUACCCGGUGUUUGUCGACCUGCCUUGAAUAAACCCCUGUCUGCCCCGAUUUCUGCCUGCCUGCCUGCCUGCCUGCCUGCUUGCCUGCCUGCCUGCCUGAGGAUCGCUCGCACUUCCUGAGCGAUCUUCCGUCCUGCUCGCCCGUGACACAUCUAGGAAUGCUUUAAACAAGGAUGAAAAUGAUUGAUUGUCUCGGAGAACACAUGCAGCGCUCACGCAAAGGCAGGGGAGGUGUGUAAAAUCAAGCAACUAGCCAUGCAGUCAGGUUUACAAACAUUUGUCAAAGAAUGGGUCAUUCUGAAGAGCUCGGUGAGUUAAAGCAUGUUAUUGUCAUAGGAUGCCACCUUGCAAUAUGUUCGUUUUUGAAAUUUCCUCGUUUCAUAUUCCACAGUAAACUGUAUGUCAUGUUAUUGCAAAGAGGAAGCAUUUAUGAACAACAGAAACUCAGCUCUGAAGUGGCAGACAAUGUAAAGUAACAGGGUCGCUGGGAGCUGAGCACAUAGUGAGUAAAAGUCACCAAUGUUGACUCAAUAACUGCACAGUCCCAAACUUCCUCUGGCAUUAACUCCAGCACAAAAUCUAUUUGCUGGGAGCUUCAUGGGAUGGGCUUCCAUGGCCGAGCAGCUGCAUGCAAGCCUCACAUCACCAAGUGCAAUACCAAGCAUCAGAUGGAGAGGUGUAAAGCACGCUGCCAAUGGACUCUGGAGUAAUGGAAACAUUUUCUGUGGAAUGAGAAAUCACAUUUUACUGUCUGGCAGUCUAAUGGGUGAGUCUGGCUUUGGUGGAUGCCUGGUGAAUGUUACCUGUCCGACUGCAUUGUGCCAACUGUAAAGUUUGGUGGAGAAGGGAUAAUAGUAGGGCGUUGUUUCUCAGGGGCUGUGCUAGGCCCCUUAGUUCCACUGAAGGGAACUCUUAAUGCUUCAUUAUAUCUACAUGUUGUGGCCAACUUUGUGGGAACAGUUUGAGGAAGGCCCUUUUCUGUUCCAGCAUGACUGCCCCAGAGCACAAAGCAACGUUCAUUAAAACAUGGUUCUGUAGUUCUACCCCCCAGAUGCUAGAUGGCGUCUAGUUAUCUAAUCAUAAUUGCCCAUUAUGCUGUGCUCCUCGUGGGAAGUCUGUGUUCAUAUGUUUGGCAGAAGGUAAGGAGUGGUUCUUUUCAUCUAGUGAAAAUGUACUAUUGUUUUAAGUCAUCCAAUUGAAAAUAUGUUUCCAAGAUGUUUUAUGAUGCAGUAGCGAUGUGUUUCAAAACAUUGUACUACUCAAUAUGUUUUAUUUGCGGUAAUUCAUUUUAAUAUCUGCUUUAAGUAUUGGAUAUGGAACAGAUGUUUAUUGAAAUUUAGUACAGUUUUUUAAUCUAAAAGUUUUAUGCUUCUAAUAUCUAAAGACCGUGACAGAGUUUUGAUGUGUUUGGCACAAGUAAUAAACCGUAGAUUCAGCGAAGCGACAGGAAAAUGAAUCUUCCCGUGUGUCUGGUUGUCCCUUUGUCCUCUAGGAACUCUACAAAAGCCCCCUCGCGCAUAUGAAAAGACAGCGCCAGCAACUGCCUAUCACGAUGUUCUUCAGCCACGCACCCAGACACUCACUGCCUACGCCUAGUACUCCUUCAGCAGAAGAAGAUGACAACGCACCUGCUGAAGAUACUGCACCACCUGAAGACUCUCCUGCUGAAGUCGUGCCUUCAGAGGAGCCGUAACCUUGCUCUUCUUUGCUGUGCAGUAGAUCUCUUCAUUGCUUCAUCAUCGAACAAGUCGCAUUAUUUUCAUAGGUUAGUGGUUAUGUGUAAGAACUGUUUGCGUAAUUAUAUGUACAAUAAUAUAUUUGUAAUCUCUGUCUUAUUUUCUCUUUUGUGUAAUAUAUUGGGUAAUACAAGUGUAAUGGUGACUAAAGGGUGUUUCAUGUCUAGAGGGCUCUAAUGUUAAACGUAUUUAGAAAGUUAGUUUCUAUGCUCUAACUAUGAAAAUAUUCGAUUUAUAAAAAAAGAAUCCAACUUCACGGAAAUUCACUUAUCACGGUACAGUCUGGAACUGAUUAAGUGCUAUAAACGAAGGCCGACUGUAUACAGAUAUGAAGGUAUUACACUGUAGUUUUAAGAAACCAAAGGUGCUGUUAUAAUAGUGCAGAAGGGUCAGUCAGUCACAGAAGCAUUCAGUGUUAAAGAGGGUACCAUCAGUAGCAGGUGGGUCUGAGUCUGUGUGGUUGAGUGGGCAUGUAUGGUUCUGAUGGCAAAAGACCGAACAGACCAUAUUCGAGGUGGGUGAGGUCAAAGGUGAUCUUGAGGCCUCUCUGGAGGCAGUGGUCAUUGUAAAUGUUCUCAUACAUGCACUGCUUCUCUAAAGAAUUCACCACGAACAAAUGGGUGUGUUGAUCACCAGUCUAUCAUGCAACUGGCACAAAAACCAAAGAAUACAAACAGCCAUGAAAUUUUCUGUCAGGAUGGGCUGAUGCUGCAAUUGUCCCACGGAUUCAAGGAACAAUAAGAGACUCAGCUGUCUUUGAUCAAAUUAGAAACCAGAUACGUGUCCACAAUGUAAUUGGAACUAAGGCACAGGUGAGCAGCAAGCAUUUUUGAUGUGGUAUAAACAAAACACUGUGAUUCCCAAAGUGUACUUUUUGCAUCAUGUCCUUCCUGCUGUAUGCUCUACCCAAGCACCACCCCUCGUCAAUACUAACCAGAGAAUUCCUAGUAGGUAUGGUGUCAGACAUAGACAAUCUCAGGUUGUAUGACACAUGCAUGAAAGGGCAACUCCCAAAAAUGUCUAGAUCUGAUUCUCCAGACAAAGUUUGGAGUUCUUGCUUGAAAAUGACAUGUCUGGCAGAUAUAACCCAAAUGAGAACAGGACAAGGCAGAUAGAGAUAGAUCCUGACACUAUAAUUUUAUAAAGUUUCAUGUAGCUGUUUGUGCUGGGGUAUUCUUUAUAAGAAAACUGGCUAACAGACAGGAAGCAGUGAGUAGUUAUUAGAGGCACAAUGUCACAGUGGGCCUGCAUUCAUAGUGGGGUACCGCAGGGUUCAAUUUUAGGACCACUAUUGUUCCUAAUUUACAUUAAUUAUAUUGACACCAAUACAUACAGUAAACUGGUUAAAUUUGCAAAUGACACCAAGGUGGGUGGUGUAGCAGAUACUGAUCUAGCAGCAGAGAGGUUACAACGGGAUCUUGAUUUAAUUAGUGUUUGGGCUGAUACCUGGAAGAUGAAAUUUAAUGUAGAUAAAUGCAAGGCAAUGCAUGCAGGGAGCAGAAAUAUAAAGUACAGAUAUUUUAUGGGUUCCACUAAAAUAAAGGUAGCUGAUUAUGAGAAAGACCUUGGUGUGUAUGUUGAUGCUUCCAUGUCCCACUCUUGCCAGCAUGGGGAAGCAAUUAAAAAGGCCAAUAGGAUGUUCAGUUACAUCUCUAGGUGUGUGGAGUGUAGGUCAAAGGAGGUGAUACUACGAUUAUACAAUUCCUUGGUAAGACCACACCUAGAAUAUUGUGUGCAGCUUUGGUUACCAUACCUUAAAAAGGACAUUGCUGCCUUGGAAAGAGGGCAACGUAGGGCUACGAGGUGGAGAGGUUAGCUGAACUGAAUCUGUUCAGCCCCAUGCAAAGGAGAUUAAGAGGGGACAUGAUCCAGAUAUAUAAGAUUCUAACAGGUCUGGAUGCUGUUCAGCCAAAUGGGUACUUCAAUAUUAGUUUAAAUACUAAAACUCAUGAUCAUAGGUGGAAAUUAUCUGGAGAACAUUUUAAAAUUAAUUUGAGAAAGCACUUGUUUGCACAGUGUGUAGUUAGAGUAUGGACUUCCUGCUAGUGUAACACAAGCUAAAACCCUGGGUUCCUUUAAAUCAGAGCUAGAUAAGAGAUAUCUAGAAUCUAGAUAAGAUUUUAAUAUCUCUGAGCUAUUAGUUGAGUUCUCCCCAAAUGAGCUUGAUGGGCCGAAUGGCCUCCUCUCGUUUGUGAAUUUCUUAUGUUCUUAUUAAUAAUCUAGUAAUAAACAUGCAUCCAAGUCUUGUAAUCUGAAUUAUUUACAACUGAAAAUUGACCAAUUUUCUUUGUCAGUAAGGCACAAUAGUGCCUUUAUUUCCUGAGGAGGAAGAUCUGUCACAACAACUCUUGGUAAACUUCUAUAGGAGCACCACAGAGAGAUCACAUCAUAGCCUCCAACUCCAUUUAUUCUGCCACUGAAUGAAAAGCUUCUGACAGACCACAUUACAGCCUCCAACUGAAGAUGUUCUGCUGCUGAACGAAAAGUACUGAAGCGCAUAGUCAAGACAGUAUUGACUAGCGGAGGUCCUCAUUAUUGCUUUCAACAUUGGCUAGAGGAGGCUUUAGGUAUUAACUUCAGCAUCAUCUAGCGGAGGCUCUUGGUAUUAGCUUCAGCGUCAGGUAGCAGAGGCUCUCGGAAUUAGCUUCAGCAUCAACUAGCGGAGACUAGUUAUUAGGUUCAACAUCAGCUAGCAAAGGCUCUCGUUAUUAGCAUCAGCAUCAGCUAGCAGAUGGUCUCUAUGAGCUUCAGCAUUGAGUAACUGAUUCUGCCAGUAUUAGCGUCAGCAUCGGUCAGCAGAGGCUCUUGCUAUUAGCUUCAGCAUUGGUUAGCAGAAGCUCCUGGUAUGAGCUUCAGCAUUGGCUAGUGUAAGCUCAUAGUAUUAGCUUCAGCUUUGGCUAAUGAAUGUAAUAGCUUCACUGUCAGCUAGCAGAGGCUUUGCACAAAUAUAAUGGAAGUGAUUUUUUUCACGCUAGUGUGAUCGUAUCUUUAGUGCGAUGCGUCACCAUGGUAACUCAUGUUACACACCUAACCUGCUUUGGAAUACAUAAUCUGUCAAACCUGUUGUGAUCCUGUUCAGCCAGCAGAAGUCUCUGCUAGCCAUCCUGUUAUUUUCUCCUUCUGUUUCCCAAUUACUGUCACCUGUUUCUUUUUUUUAUUCCACAUGAUUCCUAGUGUUUGGUGUAUUGCUCAUUGUUUUCCAGUGUAUACCAUGUAUGUAAGUUCUUCCCCAAAUCAUGUUCCUCAGUUGGUCUUCAUCAGUGCUCAGUACCAGUCCCCAUGGUCUGUGGUUGCAUUUAGUGUUAUAGUUUUCCUUUAGCCUUCUCAGUGUUUAGACCAGCCCUUGUCCCCUCUGACCUUAACCUCCCUGCCUCCUGUAUUGAUCCCUGGAGGUCUAGUGGUUAGAAUUCAAUGCUCUUACUGCCACAACCUGGUGUUCAGUUCCCGAACAAGGAACCAAGACACUACAUGCACCAGAUCAGGAAAAACAAACAUGAGACCUUAGCGAGACCCAGGGAAUUAGAACAAAGGGGACAGGGCAUGGACCACAGAAGAAGCAGGACAGUCAAGUUGGAAGGUCAACAUCAAGGGUCAGGGCAAACAGGACAAGGAGCAGAACUGGGACCAAGACCUGGGGUCUCAGAGGGAAAAUGAUGCAGAGGCCCAGAAACAUGGAGCAGGCAUUCCCUCCGUGGCACACCCUUUCCCAUCCCAGUAUCGGACCCAAUGGCUUGUCCUUGUGUGCCCCAUUCUGUCAGUCUGUGUCCACCCAGGUCUGAUCCAGGCCCCAGAUAGCAUGGUUGAUCCUCAAAACAAAUUCUCCGUGGUGUGAGUUAAAAGUGUAGAAAAUACAAUCAUAAAACAGUCAGUGAUGUUAUUAAAUCUCUAACAAUAUAAACACAAGCCAUUAUUGGUCUCAGUGUAGGAGGUGCUCAUUUCUAUCACAUACAAGUAAAAUACAGCAAAUUAUGCCAGAAUUGCAAUGCAUAAAAAAAUGCUAUCAAACAUUUUAUUGUAUAUAUUAAGGCUCUUGGUUUGAUGCAAUCUGGAUAGCACUUUCAGACAGAACGGAGGUUAUUUCAGUAGAAAUUAUCGUAUUAUCUUUUAUCUUCCUAAUGCCUGCAAUGAAUAGGCCUAUUAGACUUUUGCCAUCAGAUAAAGUAGUUUAGUUAAUUGCAAAUUGCUCUGGCUACUGCAACAGUGCAUAUUUUUAAUUGCCAUUUAUAGAUGAUUUGAUUCAAUCCCAUAUUGUUCAAAUCCUCAAACAAUAACCAUAUCCUUUUGGAACUGUUUUAUAUUUAAUUAUAUUAUGUUAAAACAGAUUUUACAAAAAUAAGUGGAUCAUUGUAACAAUAAACAACUUUGAAAUAAAAA
Brienomyrus brachyistius is the source of this 6669-nucleotide long non-coding RNA. RefSeq lists it as uncharacterized. Lineage: Eukaryota; Metazoa; Chordata; Actinopteri; Osteoglossiformes; Mormyridae. The transcript has 2 exons. The record is from RefSeq and is a predicted model, not a curated record.